GCUGUGUACAAUAUGUAUAUACAACUCGUCUAAACAUCAACCCAACAAUGUUAAAUCUGUAAAUUUGCCGUCGCAAAUUUUAUGUUCUUCCUUCUCCGGGAUUCGAACCCAUGCUACUGAGAUAACGUGACACCAAAUCGCCUGCACUGUAGCCGUCCCGCUAAACCACACGACCACUUGGGCUUCACAAUAAUAAAGCUUUCGAUGGCCGUGUGUUACCUUUCUUCGUCACUUUUAAUCUAGCGUCGUACUACAGUACAUGAU
RNAcentral lists this long non-coding RNA (264 nucleotides) under Mytilus galloprovincialis (Mediterranean mussel). The record is from RNAcentral. Lineage: Eukaryota; Metazoa; Mollusca; Bivalvia; Mytilida; Mytilidae.